Long non-coding RNA from Polypterus senegalus (gray bichir), 1937 nucleotides. RefSeq lists it as uncharacterized. The transcript has 3 exons. NCBI's taxonomy places the organism in Eukaryota, Metazoa, Chordata, Cladistia, Polypteriformes, Polypteridae. The record is from RefSeq and is a predicted model, not a curated record.
AGUUUAUUGUUAUAGUACAUUGAAAUUCUUACUUACAAGUCUCCUUAGAAUAGUGAUAAUGAUACAAUACCAACAAAAAAAGACAUACAAAAAAUAUAAAGAAUGCAACAUACAUCAAUCAGCCACAACAUUAAAACCCAUGACAGAUGAAGUGAAUAACAUUGAUAAUCCCAUUAAAAUAGCACCUGACAAGGGGUGGGUUACAAUAUAUUAGGAAGCAUGUGUACAGCCAGCUCUUGGUCAUGUGCUGGAAACAGGAAAAAUGUACAAGCAUAAGAAUCUGAGCAACUCUGACAAGAACCAAGUUGCAAUGGCUAGACAGCUGGGUCAGGGCAUCUCCAAAACAGCAGGUCUUGUGGGGAUGUUCCCAGUAUGUAGCAGUUAGUACCUACCAAAACCAGCCUGAGGAAGGACAACUGGUGAACCGGCAACAGGACCAUUGGUGCCCAAGUCGCAUUGGCAUGCAUGAGGAGCGAAGCCUAGCUCAACUGGUCUGAUCCCACAGGAGAGCUACUGUUGCACAAAUUUAUGAAAAAAAUAAAGAUUCUCAUAAGAGAACAGUGUCUGAACACAAAGUGUAUCAUAGAUUGCUACAUAUGAGACUGUGUAGCCAUAGACUUGUCAAAGUGCUCAUGCUGACCCCUAUCAACUACCAAAAGCACCUACAAUAGGCAUGUGAGCAUCAGAAGAACUGGACCCUGGAGCAAUGGAAAAAAGUGACCCGGUCUGAUGAAUCACAUUUUUUUUUUUAGAUAUGGAUGCCUGGGUUCGAGUGCAUUGUUUACCUGGAGCAGAGAUGGCAGCAGGAUGCACGUUGGAAAGAAGACAAACUGGAAGAGGGAAUUUGAUGCUCUGGGUAAUGUUCUGCUGAGAAACUUUGGGUUCUGGAAUUCAUGUGGCUGGUACUUUGACUUGUACCACCUAUCUAAAGAUUGUUGCAGACCACGUACACUCCUUCAUGGUAUUACGUGAUAGCAGUGGCCUCUUUGAGUGGGAUAAUGCGCCCUUCCACACUGCAUACAUUGUUCAGGAAUGGAGGAAGGAAGAUAAAAAAGAGUAAAAGGUAUUGGGUUAACCUCCAAAUUUCCCAGAUCUGAAUUUGACUGAGCAUCUGUUGGAUGUGUUGGAAAAACAAGUCAGAUCCUUAAAGGCUCUAUUUUGCAACUUACAGUACUUAAAGGAUCUGGUACUAACAUCUUGGUGCCAGAUAGCACGGGACAUCUUCAGAGGUCUUGUACAGUCCAUGCCUUGAUGGGUCAGAGCUGUUUUGGCAGCACAAAUGGGACCUACACAAUACAGUAUUAGAUCAGCACUUUGGAUGCACCUGCUGCACUCUCCUUCACUCCAAGUGACAAAUCUACUUUAAAAAAAUGCUACAGGGUAGAUUGGGUGCCAGCUACCCCCAUGAUAAUUCUCCAGUCCCCACCUGAUGAUGACAUGAAGAUAACACGGGAUGAUGGGUCCCAUCUGGAGUACAUGGCACAAGUGAUUGUUCAGAAUGCUAGUCAAUGAGGUCAUUGUGUGCAGGACCUAAAAAGGCAUGUCACAGGCUCUCCAGGGGAGAGCGGCUCUGCAAGUGAAUGAGGCAAGUCUCUUCCACAGACUGAACACUGUUUGCUGCUCGGCUGAGUGGAGAUACCAGGAGCUGCCAGCACUUCACAACUGUGGUUUAGCAGACAGGGCAGAGUCCUGCCUAUCACUCUGCACUCAUCAUGCAAUUUCUGUUGUGAUUUAAUAAGAAGACAGUUAUGUAAGGAGGUUUUUUUUUCUUUUUCUAAACUGUGCCUGUCAGCAGGAAAAUACACAGACAUGAACAUAUGGAAUUAAUAAAAGAUGUGAGCAUUAGGAAAAGAGCUAAAAACUGUCUUUCUGCUGUCAUUUUAAAGUGACUUUUAAUUAUAUGUCUUCUUUUUUUUUUGCAAAAUAAAAAAGAUACU